This 381-nucleotide long non-coding RNA is filed under the name Ficedula albicollis (Collared flycatcher). RNAcentral's name for it is "lncRNA (ENSFALG00000023121.1)". The record is from RNAcentral. Lineage: Eukaryota; Metazoa; Chordata; Aves; Passeriformes; Muscicapidae.
AUGUUGAUUUCUAGAUUUAAGAUCAUCAAGUCCAACCCUCAACCACCACCAUGUCCUCAAGUGCCACAUCCACACGUUUUUUUCACAUUUCCAAGGAUGGUGACACCACCAAUUCCCCAGGCAUCCCAUUCCCUCAGGAAUUUUUCCCAAUAUCCCAUCUUAACCUCUCCUGGAUUUCUGGAGGAUCCUGGGAAAAGCUCCAUGGCUCACAUGGCACAGGAGGAAAUACUUCACUCCAGAAAAUCCAAUGUGCUCAGAUUUUGGAAAAAAGGACAGAAAGAUUCAGGAAUAUGGAGAAAGUGCAGCUGGAACCAAAGAGGAGGUUCCCUGCAGAGCUUGAAGUUUCCUGUCCCUCCCUUUAAAUGUGGCUUUGUUUGCUGA